Molecule: non-coding RNA, 5920 nt
Organism: Oryctolagus cuniculus (rabbit)
Lineage: Eukaryota; Metazoa; Chordata; Mammalia; Lagomorpha; Leporidae
Source: RefSeq, a predicted model, not a curated record
UAUCCCAGUGGAAAGAAGGGGCCAUCAAAGGAGUUUCCUUCCUCUGAAGGUAGGAGAGAACUUCCACUUUGAUUAUGGCCUUGUCUAAUAACGUCAGAGUUUGUGAACUCAAAACACUUCCAUAGCCUUGGCAGCUCACAAGAGCCUUCGGUGAUUAAUGAUGUCACAAAUAAGAGUGUCAAUUGUUAAAUCAACCAUAGGAGUCACUGUGCGCUUACUCUCCAUGUAGGCUCUCUGUCCUUAAUGUGUUAUACUAUGCAAAUUAAUGGUAAAACUGGCCGGCGCCACGGCUCACUAGGCUAAUCCUCCGCCUAGCGGCGCCGGCACACCGGGUUCUAGUUCCGGUCGGGGCGCCGGAUUCUGUCCCGGUUGCCCCUCUUCCAGGCCAGCUCUCUGCUGUGGCCAGGGAGUGCAGUGGAGGAUGGCCCAGGUGCUUGGGCCCUGCACCCCAUGGGAGACCAGGAAAAGCACCUGACUCCUGGCUCCUGCCAUCGGAUCAGCGCGGUGCGCCGGCCGCGGCGGCCAUUGGAGGGUGAACCAACGGCAAAAGGAAGACCUUCCUGUCUCUGUCUCUCACUGUCCACUCUGCCUGUCAAAAAAAAAAAAUGGUAAAACUAAUACUCAAACUAUUUCAUACUUUCUGUGUCUGGGUGGGUUCAAUCUAUUGAAAUCUUUACUUAGUAUAUGCUAAGCUGAUCUUCUGUAUAUAAAGAUAAUUAAAAUGACUCAAUGAAGAAUGGGAUGGGAGAAGGAAUAGGAUAUGGGAUGGUUUGUGGGUGUGACGGUAGUUAUGGGGGGAAAAACUGCUAUAAUCCAAAAGUUGUACUUUGGAAAUUUAUAUUUAUUAAAUAAGUUUUCUAAAAAAGAAAACACAUUUAUGAAUAAGCAUCUGAAGGGGUUACCAUGUAAAUUCCUAGAAAUAUCAAGUAAUUACUUGGAAACAUAGCAUGAAUUUCCAUUUCUUUUUUAUUUUUUGACAGGCAGAGUGGACAGUGAGAGAGAGACAGAGAGAAAGGUCUUCCUUUGCCGUUGGUUCACCCUCCAAUGGCCGCUGCGGCUGGUGCACUGCGGCCGGCGCACUGCACUGAUCCGAUGGCAGGAGCCAGGUCUCUGCCAUGAGGACUCACUGGUUUCCUGCAUCAGGUACAGGCCUUCUGCAGUCUCCAGGAAGGGCUUUCAUGGGGUUAGCCUUCCACCGUUUCUGCUGUUGGAACAUUCCAGAAGAAAUACUUCAAUGUGGCUCAUGGAAAUGGUGAAGUUUUUCUCAUCUCAGUUGCCCAGAAAAAGGAUGACUUGAUUGGGACCCAACAGGAAAUCAAGACAUUAAUUUAAGACAAGAUAUAAUAGCAAACAGCAGCACAUCAACUCAUAAGAGAGUUGAAUUAAGAAAAAACAAUUUAACAAUGUAAGCUCAAACUGUAUAACAAAACUAAUAUCAAAAAGGGAAAUUGUUCAAGAAAGAAACCUGAUGUGUAUUUCACAAUGCACAUCUCCAUAGUUGCACCUGAUGAGAGGCAGCCUUUACAUAAAAAUUCAUAUCUUAGUAAGCAUCAGCAAACCCACACAGGAGAUAAACUCUAUGGGUCUAAUGAAUAUGAGGAAUCUCGUGUACAAAUCAGAUCUUGCAGGAAAUCAAAGAACACAGGCAAGGGAAAAAAUACUUCCAUAAACUCAUUGGAAAUCUUCCAGCUGUAAAUCCUGCCAUUCAUCACAAAACUCACAAGGGAAAAACCCCAUGUGUAUGAAUGUGGAAGAAGCACUUAAAUGAAACAGACCUUAUUAAAAAUCAAAGAAUUCAUACAGCAGAAACUUCAUGAAUGUAACAAAUGUGGAAAAGUUUUUUGCACUAUAUCAAUCCUCAAUACUACAUGGAAAAUUCACAUGGGGAGAAAUCUUAUGGAUAUAGUGAAUAUGGAAAAGCCUUUUGGCAUAGGUAAAUCCUCAUUACACAUUAGAGAAUUUCUUGAGAAGCAAUGUAAUGAAUAUGGAAAAUCAUUUUCCUGAAAUCCAAGCCUCAAGAAGCAUAGAACACACAAAGAAGAGAAACCUUUUCUAUGCAGUCAAUGUGAAAAAAACAAAUCUUUUGCCAGAAGUUAGACUUCAGUAGAUAACAGAGAAGGCACACAAAGUGUAAUAAAAACCUUAUCUAUGAAAAAAGAAUGUGAAAAAUAUGUUUGCCUGAAGUCAAUCUUCAGCACACAAUAAGGGAAUAAAGGGAUGAGAAAACAUGCACAUAUAUGAGAACCUUCUACCCUAAGACAUCUCUCACUACUGGAGAAGUGAGCAAUGAAAAACCCUUUAAAUGUAGUGGAAGUAGAGAAACCUUUAUUAUAAGGCAAACUUCAAAAAUGUCAGCAAAAUUGCAGAGAGUAAACACAGAAAAUGUAAUGUGGGUGGGAAAAUCCUUUGCUGAAAUCACAUCCCAGCAACUGGUGGGAAACAGUUGACAGACAUUGGCUGUAUGUUCUUCAAAAUCUGCAUUUUCUCUUUGACAAACAAUCUGCAUUUUACUUCCCAUUAUUUUGAGUGGGACCACGUAGAUGUGCUCUGUUUCCACAAAUUUUCUUAACUAUUCAAUCUACAACACUUAUUUGAAAUACCGUAUUCCUUGAUUGCCAUGCUACUUGGAGGAGUAGUUUUGAUGUGUGCCCAUGACUCCUUUCCCGACUUAUUUUAGUAAUAGCCAUUGGCAUGACCACAGACAUGCCACUUAACUCAUACAUCAGCCAUAAUGCUCUGCCCCAAGAAAUCUGAAAGCCCUUCCACAGAAUUUCAAAACUCUACUAUAAAUCCUUUUACAUAGUUUUUAAAAACUCCUUUGAACUGCUAAUCAUUUUCGAAUUUAUGUGGCUUGUAAGAUAGUGGAUUUUCAUGGUAUGUUGCACCCAAAAUGAGAAAAGGUACAAAAUGGUGAAGGAAAAAAAUUGCAGUUUCAAGUUUAGCAAAGAUAAAAAUUUAUAAAUUUAAGAAGCUCAGAAGAUCCCACACAGAAUCAGCUAAAAUAAAACCAUGCUUUGCACAUUAGAAUCAAAUUACUGCAGUCAGACAUAGAGAAAUUCCAGAAAUCACUGACAGAAAAAUGAAAAGGCACAUAUAGAUGCUCAAUAUGGAAUGAAAAGACUAGUCAUCAGAAAACAUGGAGCUCAAAAGACAGUGUAAUAUCUGUAUUCUGUAGAAAGCAAAAUAUUAUCUGAAACACUUUCCUAUAUUCAAAAAACUAUUUCAAGAGUGAAGUUGAGAUAUAGACACUUUCAGAUAAAAGACAAUUAGACAAUCUCUUGGCACCAGAGCUUUACUACAGAAAAUGGUAAAUUUCUGUAAUAAAAGAGCAUUGCAGGGAAAAUCAAAUUUUUAGGUAUGCAUGAAUAACAUUAGAUACUUUACGUAAAUUAUAACUGAAUAACUUGAAAAAUUCCAAGGUUAUUUAAACUUCUAAAGGCAGGCAUUUUCCAUGACUGAAACUGAAGCAGGCAGAGAAGGCUGUUCCUCCUCACAGGAAAACUAGAUUCUCACCUCAUUCAGGCAGUUCCUCUGGUCAUUGAAAACUGCUCAUAAAAUUUGCCUGGCUACAAAUAUUUGCUGGGAAAUACCUUUUGUGGGCAACCCCUUUUUCCACUGAAAAGCCUGUUUUGUAUGCUCUAGAGUGGAUGGAAAGGACACAGUCACUUAGAAUCUGUGAUAUUCUGAUCACUGCUAUGAACACUGUGGCUAAGGCACCACAAAUUCAGAAUCUAAUCUGAUCCACCUGAAAGCUGUUCUCCCCAACAGCAUAGAAAAAAAUGAGCAGACACAUAUGGAUCUCUUAAAAGCUUCCUAUCCUCAAGCUCAAUUCAAUCCCAACAAAGUCCUUGUAUUGGAUGUAACAGGAGUAGAUCUUGUCCCCUAAAGGGAGUAUUACAGGAGUAAACAGUGGACUGGAACGUGAAUAGUAUAUGACAGUACUAAUAACAGCGUUCAAUUUCUGGGUGAGGAACGUAUGGUGGUUAUACAAGAAUCUAUCUUGACUUUUACAAAUAUCUGGGUAUUCAAGGAGAAAGGGGCACAGUGCAGGUAACUGCCUUCAGAAAGACGCACACACAGACACAUAGGAAAUGUUGCUGAUGUUCUUUGUGAUAAUUUGUAGGGGAAUACUUUGUGGGCCAUCCUUCUUUUUGGUUAGACUGAUGGACCUUUGAAGGAAAUGAUGCCAUCUCUCCUUGAACUCGGAAGAGAAUGUGGCCUCAAAAUUCAACAUGUGCCAUCCCAAGAGAAAGGAGCACUUGGAAUGGGUGUUGCCUUCCCCCACAUUGUCUACAACACAUUCCAUCCCAGGGCACUCAGGGCUAUAGCUGAUCUCAAAAGUCAUCUUCUGUGGAAUUAGGUACAAGCAACGUAUUGCUUUAAAGAAAUGCCUGGUGUUCUUUGUCCUCCAGCCACUCUGUUUCACUGGGCAAUGGAUCAAGAGUGGAUGCUGGACAUGCUGCAGUGAUGUGGGUUUUUCCUUUUAUUUUGCCUGUCAGUCUCAUGAGCUUAGCUGCCACCCACAGGGCACUCAGUGCUUUUUCAAAUUUGAUCUUCAAAGUUCUCUUAUAUUUGGAAUUGGAUAUGAGUAAAACUGGACCAUAGAGGAAUUGCUGGUGCUCGUUGGCCUCUAGCCACUUUGAGUUUGACUGGGAAAUGGCUCACAUCUUGCCUGUCUCCUGAGCUCAACUGUCCCUGGUAUUUGAUUCUUAAGACAAACUAUACAGAAAGGAUAGGAUGAAGUCUCUGUCUCUUGUUUCCUGUUAUUCACUGGUGAGUCAUCUGAUGAUGGAAUAGAAAGGUGAUUGCUGUCUCCCUGUUUUUGCCUUCCCAUUUGGGUGGGCUUCUCUAAUGACACUGGGGAAAAGCUCUCAAAGUCCAAGUGUGUUUCAGUGUUUUCAGGACUUGAUAUCUGAUCUCAAUGAGUUCAACUGGAACAAGUUUUCACUUCCUUAUCUUGCUACUUAACAUUCUCCAUUAAGAGAAGUAGCCAUAAUCAUUUUGGGGGUAGAAUGAGUGAAGAUCUAUAUUCUGCAUUUUCUUCAAGUUAGCAUAUGGUGUAGGGCUGUUUGUGGGUAUUCUCUUGCUGUCAGUCCUAUGGCGUUCAGAGGUGGACUGGGAAAAGAUUGUCUCCUGUGGCCCAGAGGACUGGUCACAUCAUCUAAUAGCAUAGGCUGGAAGCCAUGCCUCAUGACCAUCUGGAGAUGGAUAGCAUGCGUUUGAUAUUUUUCACUGCUCUGCCUCUGCUUGCCACCUGCUUCUUCCCACAGUGGGUUGGUGCAAAAAGCUGGAGUCAGACCCACAGCUGGAGCAAAGCCACUGGCAAGCUUGAUGCAAACACAGGAGGCCAGUAGCCGAGUCACCAUCUCAUUUUCACUUUAACACAUGCAUUAGCCUGGACUGGCUUCCCCUCAGCAUAUUAAACGCAAUUCAACUUUGUUUUCGCUUGUAAUGGUAUUAAGUAAGUCAACUAACUCUUUAGGAAACAACCUGCUUUUUAUGAUUGGAUAUUAAAAAAAUUGUGUCAAACAUGUACCAGUUUAAUUAUUUCCUGUCUAGAAUGUUAUUGACCUUUCUUGGAUUUUCUGGGCUUUAGAAUUUUGUGAGUUGUCUAUGGCAUUGUUGGUAAACCAUCUUUUUAAAAUAUUAGCUUUUAAUUUUCUUUUGUAUUUUUUUGACUCUAAUUAAAUGUAUUAUACACUUCAAACAGUGUCCUCAUUCACGUUCUUUCACAAGUGUUAUUUCUUCAUGGUUUGUGUUGAUAUGAGUAAUAACUUCAACUCUGCAUUUUAGAUCCCUAAUCCAUUUUUCAAUUGUGUCUAAUAUGUCCACCAAUCAAUUAUUUUAUUCUCAGUGAUACUUUUCAUUUUUGUUAAGGCUUACUUGGUGUUUUUCAAUGAAUUGGUAAUUAUAAAAAUUA